Myodes glareolus (Bank vole) is the source of this 390-nucleotide long non-coding RNA. RefSeq lists it as uncharacterized. The record is from RefSeq and is a predicted model, not a curated record. NCBI's taxonomy places the organism in Eukaryota, Metazoa, Chordata, Mammalia, Rodentia, Cricetidae.
ACUGCACCUCACAUCCUGGGGCGGAACCCACAACACCCGAGAGAACUACAAGCCCCGGCAACUAGACACAUUGCUCGGUCAUGGGACUUGUGGGCCUCCAAUAGAGGCAAGGGAGUCACUGAGCUGGUCCUCUGGAAUGAACCAAGAAAUGAAUGUCUGGGGGAAAUGGAAGACUGAAGCUUGGAGAAAGAGAAGAACUACUCCUGGAUGCUCAGUAUGCUCUCUUUGGAACACGGGGCAUGCAGGACAACAAUUACUAAUCACGAAGCAAAAUGCAGUUAACCACAGAUAAUGUGUAAUAUCUGAGCCAUACCCAGAUUGAUUAAUUUUCAUGAUGGAAGCAUUGGCCUGUCAUCUUCCCCUUUGAAUAAAUAUUUAUUCAACAUUUGA